GGGGUAGCUCAGUUGGUUAGAGCACUGCACUCAUAAAGCAGAGGUCGUGGGUUCAACUCCCACCCCCGG
This 69-nucleotide transfer RNA is filed under the name marine eukaryotic metagenome. It matches the Rfam family "tRNA". From Rfam's summary of the family: Transfer RNA (tRNA) molecules are approximately 80 nucleotides in length. Their secondary structure includes four short double-helical elements and three loops (D, anti-codon, and T loops). The record is from RNAcentral.